ACACUGACGACAUGGUUCUACUGCCUGUUUAUCAAAAACAUCCGUUUGUUGUAAUAACAAAUUUUGUCUGCCCACUGUAUAUUAUAAAGGGCUGCAGUAUUUUGACUGUGCGAAGGUAGCAUAGUAGCUUGUUCUUUUAAUUAGGGACUGGAAUGAAAGACUGGACAAGAAAGUUACUAUAUACAAAUAUAAGUCUUGAAUUUAUACUAUACUAGUAAAAAUACAGAUGUUACUAUUGGGACGAUAAGACCCUAUGUAAUUUUAGUAAUUAGUUUAAUUAAGGAAUAGACGACAUAAAUUACUUAGUUGGGGCAACUAAUAUAUAAAUUUAUUAAACUAGUUUUUAUUAUGAACACAACUAGUGAGAGCAAGACCCUUAUAAGGUAAAGAUAAAAAUACUCUAGGGAUAACAGCGUAAUACUUUUGGUAGAGAUCUUAUCGAUAGAAGUGUUUACGACCUCGAUGUUGAAUUAAACUUCCUACUGGGGUAGAAGAUUUGUAGGUUUAGUCUGUUCGACUAAAUAAGUUUACAUGAUUUGAGUUCAGACCGGUGUGAGCCAGGUUGGUUUCUAUCUAGACCAAGUCUCUGCUACCGUA
This 597-nucleotide ribosomal RNA is filed under the name Heteromysis formosa. Its description in RNAcentral is "partial 16S ribosomal RNA". It matches the Rfam family "Bacterial large subunit ribosomal RNA", at positions 1777 to 2665 of the family's 2925-position model. Lineage: Eukaryota; Metazoa; Arthropoda; Malacostraca; Mysida; Mysidae. The record is from RNAcentral.